GUGGGGAAUAUUGGACAAUGGGCGAAAGCCUGAUCCAGCCAUGCCGCGUGUGUGAAGAAGGUCUUCGGAUUGUAAAGCACUUUAAGUUGGGAGGAAGGGCAGUAAGUUAAUACCUUGCUGUUUUGACGUUACCGACAGAAUAAGCACCGGCUAACUUCGUGCCAGCAGCCGCGGUAAUACGUAGGGUGCGAGCGUUAAUCGGAAUUACUGGGCGUAAAGCGCGCGUAGGUGGUUCAGCAAGUUGGAGGUGAAAUCCCCGGGCUCAACCUGGGAACUGCCUCCAAAACUACUGAGCUAGAGUACGGUAGAGGGUAGUGGAAUUUCCUGUGUAGCGGUGAAAUGCGUAGAUAUAGGAAGGAACACCAGUGGCGAAGGCGACUACCUGGACUGAUACUGACACUGAGGUGCGAAAGCGUGGGGAGCAAACAGGAUUAGAUACCCGAGUAGUCC
This 450-nucleotide ribosomal RNA is filed under the name uncultured bacterium. RNAcentral's name for it is "bacterial SSU rRNA". It matches the Rfam family "Bacterial small subunit ribosomal RNA", at positions 354 to 796 of the family's 1533-position model. The record is from RNAcentral.